GCAGUGUACUUAUUACACUGUAUUGGAAUCGCUUCUUUUCUCUUUCUCUGUGAAUUUCUUGAGAGCACAGACUACAUUCUGCUUAACUUUUUAUCCCCAGCUUUCAGCACAGUGCCUGGCUGCUUUGGCGUCUCCAAGUACCUGACCUCAGCUCAACCUGUCUUGGGUUUUCUUCUCCUCCCUGACAUUGACAACCCAGCCCUCCUAGGCACAGAGAGAUGGAGCUGAGUGUGGUUUUCCUGAAAUAAAGCUUGCAUUAUGAGAGGGAAUAAACAGUACAGAGGACCAAAGUGGAUGAGCCCUGCUGACCUUGAACACAAGAGGCAGCAUGCCAGGACCUUGCGUGAAGAGGCCUUUCUCACAGGGUGAAAAGCGCGCUUACCAGCCUGAGCCCUAGCGGCUCCAGCAAGAUGAACUUGGUACUGUGGAGAGAAGAGUGAUGGAGAAGGAAAGAGGAAGGGAGAUAAGGCCUCAGGGACUUCCAGUUUCCAGAGAAUAUAAAGCAGGCAGAAAAACGUGAAAAGGAGAGACUGGCCUAGCUUCUCAGCCCACGUCUUUCUCCCGUGCUGAUGCUUCCUGCCCUCGAACAUCAGACUCCAAGUUCUUCAGUUUUGGGACUCAGACUGUCUCUCGUUGCUCCUCAGCUUGCAGACAGCCUAUUGUGGGACCUUGUGAUCAUGUAAGUUAAUACUUAAUAAACUCCUAUAUAUAUAUAAUAUAUAUGUAUAUCUCCUAUUAUAUCCUAUUAGUUCUGUCCUUUUAAGAGAAUCCUAAUACAGAUGAUGAAGAAAUAAUUCACAUUUUAAGGUGUGUUUAUUUGUUAUGAUUUUAUCUUAUUUUAAUUUAUUUUUAGAGAUGGGAUCUCACUGUAUCACUCAUGCUGGAGUGCAGUGGCACAAUCAUAGCUCACUGCAGCCUUCAAACUCCUGGGCUCCAGCAAUCUUCACGCCUCAGCCUCCCGGGUAGCUAGGGCUACAGGCACGUGUCACCAUACUUGGCUAAAUUUUUGGCAGUUUUAAUGGUUUUAUUUAAGCAUAAAUAAAAUAUGCACAUGA
Homo sapiens (human) is the source of this 1055-nucleotide long non-coding RNA. The record is from Ensembl. Lineage: Eukaryota; Metazoa; Chordata; Mammalia; Primates; Hominidae.